GGAUUUGUACUGGAUUUGACUGUGACAUCUAUCACCCUACUGCUCAUCAGGGUUAAGCUGGCUGGCUAGGCAGGUGUAAUUUUCUUACCUCAUGCUCC
RNAcentral lists this small nuclear RNA (98 nucleotides) under Ophiophagus hannah (king cobra). RNAcentral's name for it is "7SK RNA". It matches the Rfam family "7SK RNA", at positions 1 to 108 of the family's 331-position model. From Rfam's summary of the family: 7SK was discovered as an abundant small nuclear RNA in the mid-70s but a possible function has only recently been suggested. Two independent studies have found that 7SK RNA binds the CDK9/cyclin T complex (known as elongation factor P-TEFb). P-TEFb activates transcription by phosphorylating the C-terminal domain of RNA polymerase II. The record is from Rfam by way of RNAcentral. Lineage: Eukaryota; Metazoa; Chordata; Lepidosauria; Squamata; Elapidae.